UACGAAGGGGGCUAGCGUUGCUCGGAAUCACUGGGCGUAAAGCGCACGUAGGCGGAUCUUUAAGUCAGGGGUGAAAUCCCAAGGCUCAACCUUGGAACUGCCUUUGAUACUGGGGAUCUCGAGUCCGGAAGAGGUUGGUGGAACUGCGAGUGUAGAGGUGAAAUUCGUAGAUAUUCGCAAGAACACCAGUGGCGAAGGCGGCCAACUGGUCCGGUACUGACGCUGAGGUGCGAAAGCGUGGGGAGCAACAGG
RNAcentral lists this ribosomal RNA (252 nucleotides) under uncultured bacterium. RNAcentral's name for it is "partial 16S ribosomal RNA". It matches the Rfam family "Bacterial small subunit ribosomal RNA", at positions 524 to 775 of the family's 1533-position model. The record is from RNAcentral.